This 377-nucleotide ribosomal RNA is filed under the name uncultured bacterium. RNAcentral's name for it is "bacterial SSU rRNA". It matches the Rfam family "Bacterial small subunit ribosomal RNA", at positions 524 to 898 of the family's 1533-position model. The record is from RNAcentral.
UACGUAGGGCGCAAGCGUUGUCCGGAUUUAUUGGGCGUAAAGAGCUCGUAGGCGGUUUGUCGCGUCUGCUGUGAAAACCUGGGGCUUAACUCCGGGCCUGCAGUGGGUACGGGCAGACUAGAGUGCGGUAGGGGAGACUGGAAUUCCUGGUGUAGCGGUGAAAUGCGCAGAUAUCAGGAGGAACACCGGUGGCGAAGGCGGGUCUCUGGGCCGUAACUGACGCUGAGGAGCGAAAGCGUGGGUAGCGAACAGGAUUAGAUACCCUGGUAGUCCACGCCGUAAACGUUGGGCGCUAGGUGUGGGGCUCAUUCCACGAGUUCCGUGCCGCAGCAAACGCAUUAAGCGCCCCGCCUGGGGAGUACGGCCGCAAGGCUAAA